Molecule: long non-coding RNA, 1909 nt
Organism: Homo sapiens (human)
Lineage: Eukaryota; Metazoa; Chordata; Mammalia; Primates; Hominidae
Exons: 3
Source: RefSeq, a predicted model, not a curated record
AGCACUGACACCCGCUCCAUGCAGUCCCGGGAUGGCCACCAAGUGAGGGAGCAGCAAAAAAGAGAAGACGCAGGGAAGGAAUUACCUAGAGAUCCCCAGGACUGCCACGCUGGGCCAGACUCACAGGACACUACUUCCCUGAAUUAUUCGCUUCUAGAACUAUGGAUGAUGGGUUCAUCUAACCCUUCCUUGAUUUGUUUGUUUUCACUAUGUUAUUUAUAAAGAUAAUGGGUUGUAUGAUAAAUACUUCUUUUUUCUUUUUUUCUCUCUCUCUCUUUUUUUUUUUUUUUUUUUUUUUGAGAUGGAAUCUCGCUCUGUCGCCCAGGCUGGAGUGCAGUGACGUGAUCUCAGCUCACCGCAACCUCUGCCUCCCGGAUUCAAACAAUUCUCCUGCCUCAGCUUCCCACGUAGCUUGGAUUACAGGUACCUGCCACCACGCCUGGCUAAUUUUUGUAGUUUUAAUAGAGAUGGGGUUUCACCGUGUUGGCCAGGCUGGUCUCGAACUCCUGACCUCUGGUGAUCCACUCGCCUUGGCCUCCCAAAGUGCUGGGAUUACAGGUGUGAGCCCCCGCGCCCGACCUUCUUUCUGUCUUUAAAUUAUUUCUUAAAAUUGAUUCUCUCCUUUGGAUGUUCAUCCCACAAGUUGAUUAUGGAAUUGGUUCAUUUAUUCAUUCAACACACAUCUAACAGCACUUUGGGCCAGGGGUUGGGGUUGCAGAGCCAAGCAGGACCUCAUGCUAGCUCUUUUAGCUUAGUGAGGACAGACAUGUGGAGAACUUCAAAGGUGAGAAAGUGCUAAGGAGGGGCCACACGGCAUGUGUGGCACAUUAGUGAGGACGGCUCUGCAGAGGGGUGGGUGUGCUGGGGAGGGAGUGACGGAGGAAAUGGCAUGGCGGAGCUGAAAUUUGGGCCGAGUCUGAUGGGGCACCCACCAGUCCCCCUAGUGAGAACUCCUCUAGUUUUCUAUCUUUUACCACAGACAGGAGUUUCUGCCCUUAGCAAAAGCUGCAAGUGCAGGAGGACCUGACCUCCCCAGUCUUCCUUUCGAUCUCAGGUUUUCUUCCUGCACUGUCUGAGCUGACUGUUCCCAAAGGACACUUGGCUGGGUACAUUGGUGUUCAUAAGUGCCUCCUAUAAAGAAGCCUGGAGCCUCACUCAACCAAUCAUUUUGCAGAAAAGUAAACUCAGACCCAGGCUUACCAAAAGAUGCAUGGCUAGAAAAGAAUGGAGUCGGAACGAGGGCCCCAUUCUUGAGAUUCCCAGGGGAGGCCUUUGCUGUCUCAUUCGGCUUCCUUGGGAAAGAGAAGGUCAGAUCAACCUUGAGCAGGGAGUGGCUGGCAGCAGCCUCAGCCUCAGGCAGGUGCCAGUCUAUCCCCACAAAACAGAGGGAUGUCUCCAAGAAGGAGUCCGCACUGAUGACCAGCCUGAGGGCAUCAGAUGUAGGCUGCCUUCCACCUGGCAUGGAACUGCUGCUGGCUCUUCUGCCUCCCAAGGCCUGAGACACGAUUGCCUGGAUUACUCCAUGGAGCCGGGGCCUGUGCAGACCCUCAAGAGAGGUCUUUUGCAGCCAACCUGUUGGGCAGCUGCCCUGGUGCCCUCAAGGUGCCCCCCUUUCUGUGCCCACCUCAUCUUUGGGGCCUCACAGUGAGGAUGUGGCCAGUGACAGGGGCUGGGGAAGAUACACCAGGGUAGAGAGGUGGACACUCCGGGCUUCUGGUUAUGAUGAUGAUGAUAGCCAGACUGGUGAUUCCCAAACUGGAGGGUCCUUGGGAUCUUCUGGCAAGGCAAAAAGUCCAGCAUGCCAUAUCCACCGACUCCUGAGUCAGAUACCCGGAAAGAACCUGAGGUUAUCUAUGUCAGGCUCUCUGAUGACGAUUUUGUGUUGAAUAAAGUUUAAAGCACAGAUCCA